CCCGCCUCCUCACAGAGAUAAAGGUUUCUGUCCCCUCCUUGCCCAGAGUUGCUCUCAGACCUCCUGGAUCACUCUCAGGCUAAAUUUCUUGGCAGGAAUGGUAUUGCUUUGGAAGAUCUGCUGUUGAGUGCUUCUUUUUGGAAAUAUGUCCUUGCAAAGUAAAAUGUCAAAAUCAGCGGUGGAAGCAGCAGGGGAAAAAUGGGCACAAAAUUUGAAAUCAAGCACAAAGUGCCUUCCUUGUAUACCAGAGCUGAAACAGGAUAUGAGUGACACAUUAUGUAAAAUGCCUUCCAACAGAGACAUCGUUGGAAGAUUCUUGGGACUUUUUGAUGAAUUGAAAGGACGACAUGACCGACUCAGAAAAAUAUCUGAGGAAGUGUUGAAGCUUUGGGAGAAGCUGAAUUUUCCUGUUCUUUCCAAACAACAAGCGUCUGCAAAGGUUGACAAACUUAUCACAUCUUUUGAAAAACACAGAAAGCGACCAAAUGCAGAAUUUGAAGAAAAUCUUGCUCAUCUGUUCGAUAUUACAAAAACAAAUGGAAAUUGGCUUUGUAGUGAGGACAAAGAACUGUACAAAAGACAAAUUGAAUCAGGAGGCAGGGUGGGAUAUACGACUGUGAAAGUGGCUCCUAUGUCAACAAUCCAUCCAUCAAAAAGGGCCAAACGCACAUCAGAACCCUCGACAAGCCAAACGGUUAUCUCUGAAUCCAGUGAUAGUGAGGAAGGAAGCAGCAGUGAUAUUGUGCACAUGUUGGAGGCUAAAGAAGAGGUUGUGCCAGAGCAGCAGGAUGGGAGCUCCAGACUGGACCAGGAGGACCCAGAUCACCUGGCCAUUAAAGAGGAACAGGAAGAACUUCAGAUCAGUCAGGACAGAGAACAGCUUCAAAGGCUGCAGGAUGAUGAUGUCAUAAAGUUCACACUGACUCAUGGGCAUGUGAAGGGUGAAGAUGAGUCGCUUCAGUUGUCAGAGUUAAAGAGCAGGGAGGCGGAGCCUGGAGCUAGCAGCUCUGACAGAUACGUGAAAACAGAAUCUGACGGUGGAGAACCAGACCCGGAGCUGCAUCCAGCUGCUGACGAAAAGACGCACUCUUCUGAUGCCGACACCGACAACAGUGACGACUGGGAGCCGAGCUGCCAGGCCCGGGCAGGUUCAAACUCUCCCUGCAAAAAAGUCUCCGUCAGUCAGAGAAGACGUCACAGUGGCCAGAAACAGUACAUCUGCUCAGAGUGCGAGAAAACCUUCCACUACACGUGGGAUCUGAAGUCACACAUGAGGUGUCACACGGGAGAAAAACCAUUCAGCUGCUCCUUCUGUGCAAAGCGUUUCAGGCAGAGUGCGCACGUGGUGUCGCACAUGAGAAUCCACACAGGAGAGAAACCUCACGUCUGCUCUGUGUGCAAUCAGAGUUUUACGCAAAAAACUCACCUGACCGUCCACAUGAAAGUGCACACAGGAGGACAAAUGUUCGGAUGCAGCGUCUGUAAGAAAAGCUACAGCAGGAAGUCUUACCUGAAAAGCCAUAAGUGCAAAGUGGAGUACGACGCUGAGUCUUUCCUCAACUUUGUAAAGCGCACGUCUAUGUACUGACCAGGCGUCUGUGCCGCGAGCAGCCAACAGACUGGAGGUUGUUGUUCCAAUCACUCCAUCAGGAUGGUUUAUUGUCCUCAGAUUGGUUCACCUCCUGACCCUGGCAGACGGUGUGCAGCAGGUGUUGCUUCCACGAACAGCAGGACUGCAACAUCCGUCCGGACCAGAAGCACCCAGAUCCCCCACACAUUACAGAGGGACAGCAGAAACUCUGGACUAGUCAAUUGGGGAAAUAUCUUUCCAGAUCUGACACUGAUCCAUUUCCCUGUGAAGACUGAAGACGAUGGAGACAAACCUGAGUCCUCUGAGCUUCAUCAAAGCCAAACUAAGGAGAACAUGGAGGUGGAGCUUCGACAGAAGUCAUGAAAGUGGUAGCACAACACCACAAGAAGACCUUAUCCGAACAGACCUCAGUCAUCAAACUGGCAAAAAACUUUGGCGGAGAACUUCUACAUGAGAGAGAAAGCAACAAUCUGACACCUGCAACAAAACUUGCAAGACAGACCAGAGAACAAUACAACCAAAGAGAACAAAAACAUCAAGUGGACAGAUGGAAACAGCACAGAAGGGCUGGACGAUUCCAAGAACUGAAAAAGGAAUACAA
Molecule: RNA transcript, 2192 nt
Organism: Thalassophryne amazonica
Lineage: Eukaryota; Metazoa; Chordata; Actinopteri; Batrachoidiformes; Batrachoididae
Gene name: zinc finger protein 184-like
Exons: 4
Source: RefSeq, a predicted model, not a curated record